GUAAAGUGCCUCACUUCAGGUGCUCACUGAGCCUAACAGGGAAUCCCGUUAAAAUCGGGAGCGGUCCCGCCGCCGUAAGUUCUAUCCAAUUUUUAUCCAUAUUGUACCACUGGUUACUCGGGAAGGUCGGAUAAAGAGGAACAAGCCGGAAGACCUGCCUGAACAUUGUAGUUAUC
Molecule: non-coding RNA, 176 nt
Filed under: Desulfovibrio sp.
Lineage: Bacteria; Pseudomonadati; Thermodesulfobacteriota; Desulfovibrionia; Desulfovibrionales; Desulfovibrionaceae
Also listed under: 1 other name
Source: RNAcentral